GAUGAAGAACGUAGCGAAAUGCGAUAAGUAGUGUGAAUUGCAGAAUUCAGUGAAUCAUCGAAUCUUUGAACGCACAUUGCGCCCGCCGGUAUUCCGGCGGGCAUGCCUGUCCGAGCGUCAUUUCACCACUCAAGCCCAGCUUGGUGUUGGGGCACCCGGCCGCCUGGCGGCCGGGGCCCCCAAGUACAUCGGCGGUCCCGCUGGGGGCACCGAGCGCAGUAGCUCGCGGUAAAACGCGCCCUCGCUCGGCGGCCUCUUCGGGCUUCCAGCCGCUAAACCCGCGUCCACCGACGCCCUUUCGAGUUGACCUCGGAUCAGGUAGGAAUACCCGCUGAACUUAAGCAUAUAAAAGCGGAGGA
This 359-nucleotide unclassified non-coding RNA is filed under the name soil metagenome. RNAcentral describes it as "partial contains 5.8S ribosomal RNA, internal transcribed spacer 2, and large subunit ribosomal RNA". The stretch from base 1 to 120 matches the Rfam family "5.8S ribosomal RNA", at positions 35 to 154 of the family's 154-position model. The record is from RNAcentral.